This 426-nucleotide ribosomal RNA is filed under the name uncultured bacterium. Its description in RNAcentral is "bacterial SSU rRNA". It matches the Rfam family "Bacterial small subunit ribosomal RNA", at positions 354 to 796 of the family's 1533-position model. The record is from RNAcentral.
GUGAGGAAUUUUCCGCAAUGGGCGAAAGCCUGACGGAGCAAUGCCGCGUGAAGGAUGAAGGCCUAUGGGUUGUAAACUUCUUUUCUCAGAAAAGAAUUAUGACGGUAUCUGAGGAAUAAGCAUCGGCUAACUCUGUGCCAGCAGCCGCGGUAAGACAGAGGAUGCAAGCGUUAUCCGGAAUGAUUGGGCGUAAAGCGUCUGUAGGUUGUUUAAAAAGUAUUCUGUCAAAGAUUAGGGCUUAACCCUAGAUAGGCAGAAUAAACUUUUAAGCUAGAGUUUGGUAGAGGCAGAGGGAAUUCCCGGUGGAGCGGUGAAAUGCGUAGAUAUCGGGAGGAACACCAAAGGCGAAGGCACUCUGCUGGGCCAAUACUAACACUGAGAGACGAAAGCGAGGGGAGCAAACAGGAUUAGAAACCCUUGUAGUCC